RNAcentral lists this ribosomal RNA (570 nucleotides) under Saccharomyces cerevisiae (brewer's yeast). RNAcentral's name for it is "eukaryotic LSU rRNA". It matches the Rfam family "Eukaryotic large subunit ribosomal RNA", at positions 72 to 659 of the family's 3401-position model. Lineage: Eukaryota; Fungi; Ascomycota; Saccharomycetes; Saccharomycetales; Saccharomycetaceae. The record is from RNAcentral.
GGGUAGCCUUGUACGGCGAGUGAGCGGCAAAAGCUCAAAUUUGAAAUCUGGUACCUUCGGUGCCCGAGUUGUAAUUUGGAGAGGGCAACUUUGGGGCCGUUCCUUGUCUAUGUUCCUUGGAACAGGACGUCAUAGAGGGUGAGAAUCCCGUGUGGCGAGGAGUGCGGUUCUUUGUAAAGUGCCUUCGAAGAGUCGAGUUGUUUGGGAAUGCAGCUCUAAGUGGGUGGUAAAUUCCAUCUAAAGCUAAAUAUUGGCGAGAGACCGAUAGCGAACAAGUACAGUGAUGGAAAGAUGAAAAGAACUUUGAAAAGAGAGUGAAAAAGUACGUGAAAUUGUUGAAAGGGAAGGGCAUUUGAUCAGACAUGGUGUUUUGUGCCCUCUGCUCCUUGUGGGUAGGGGAAUCUCGCAUUUCACUGGGCCAGCAUCAGUUUUGGUGGCAGGAUAAAUCCAUAGGAAUGUAGCUUGCCUCGGUAAGUAUUAUAGCCUGUGGGAAUACUGCCAGCUGGGACUGAGGACUGCGACGUAAGUCAAGGAUGCUGGCAUAAUGGUUAUAUGCCGCCCGUCUUGAAA